Molecule: transfer RNA, 58 nt
Filed under: Gossypium hirsutum (cotton)
Lineage: Eukaryota; Viridiplantae; Streptophyta; Magnoliopsida; Malvales; Malvaceae
Also listed under: 1 other name
Source: Rfam by way of RNAcentral
UAGCAUUGUUGGUAAAGUGCAAAACUCUUAAUUUUGUGGUCUUGGGUUUGAGUCCCAC